UAUGUAGGGAGCGAGCGUUGUCCGGAAUUACUGGGUGUAAAGGGAGCGUAGGCGGGGAUGCAAGUUGGGUGUCAAAACUACCGGCUCAACUGGUAGUCGCACUCAAAACUGCGGCUCUUGAGUGAAGUAGAGGCAGGCGGAAUUCCUAGUGUAGCGGUGAAAUGCGUAGAUAUUAGGAGGAACACCAGUGGCGAAGGCGGCCUGCUGGGCUUUUACUGACGCUGAGGCUCGAAAGUGUGGGGAGCAAACAGG
RNAcentral lists this ribosomal RNA (252 nucleotides) under uncultured bacterium. Its description in RNAcentral is "partial 16S ribosomal RNA". It matches the Rfam family "Bacterial small subunit ribosomal RNA", at positions 524 to 776 of the family's 1533-position model. The record is from RNAcentral.